This 504-nucleotide ribosomal RNA is filed under the name uncultured bacterium. Its description in RNAcentral is "partial 16S ribosomal RNA". It matches the Rfam family "Bacterial small subunit ribosomal RNA", at positions 32 to 523 of the family's 1533-position model. The record is from RNAcentral.
AACGCUGGCGGCGCGCUUAACACAUGCAAGUCGAACGAGAACCAUUCCUUCGGGAAUGGGGAAAGUGGCGAACGGGUGAGUAACACGUGGGUAAUCCACCCUCGGCACCGGAAUAGCCCGGGGAAACUCGGAUUAAUGCCGGAUAGCCCCACGGGCUCUAUGGCCUGUGAGAAAAGGGAGCUUAGGCCUCUGGCCGAGGACGAGCAGGCGGCGGAUUAGCUAGUUGGCGGGGUAAUGGCCCACCAAGGCGACGAUCCGUAGCUGGUCUGAGAGGACGAUCAGCCACACUGGGACUGAGACACGGCCCAGACUCCUACGGGAGGCAGCAGUUGGGAAUCUUGCGCAAUGGGCGAAAGCCUGACGCAGCGACGCCGCGUGUGGGAAGAAGGCCUUCGGGUUGUAAACCACUUUCAGGAGGGACGAAGCUACUCGGGUGAACAGCCCAGAGGGUGACGGUACCUUCAGAAGAAGCCCCGGCUAACUACGUGCCAGCAGCCGCGGUAA